CCUACGGGUGGCAGCAGUGGGGGAUAUUGCACAAUGGGGGAAACCCUGAUGCAGCGACGCCGCGUGUGGGAAGACGGUCCUCUGGAUUGUAAACCACUGUCCCCAGGGACGAAGAUGACGGUACCUGGGGAGGAAGCUCCGGCUAACUACGUGCCAGCAGCCGCGGUAAUACGUAGGGAGCGAGCGUUGUCCGGAAUUACUGGGUGUAAAGGGAGCGUAGGCGGGGAUGCAAGUUGGGUGUCAAAACUACCGGCUCAACUGGUAGUCGCACUCAAAACUGAAGCUCUUGAGUGAAGUAGAGGCAGGCGGAAUUCCGAGUGUAGGGGUGAAAUGCGUAGAUAUGAGGAGGAACACCAGUGGCGAAGGGGGCAGGCUGGGCUUUUACUGACGCGGAGGCUCGAAGGUGUGGGGAGCAAACGGGAGUAGAGACCCGGGGAGUC
This 440-nucleotide ribosomal RNA is filed under the name uncultured bacterium. RNAcentral describes it as "partial 16S ribosomal RNA". It matches the Rfam family "Bacterial small subunit ribosomal RNA", at positions 338 to 795 of the family's 1533-position model. The record is from RNAcentral.